GCCACUGCUCGCACCUGCUGCUGGUGCCCGGCGUUGGCCCUGAUCACUUGGCACUGUCAGCGGGUGUGAGCAGCAGCUG
Molecule: microRNA precursor, 79 nt
Filed under: Myotis brandtii (Brandt's bat)
Lineage: Eukaryota; Metazoa; Chordata; Mammalia; Chiroptera; Vespertilionidae
Description: mir-9198 microRNA precursor family
Rfam family: mir-9198 microRNA precursor family
Source: Rfam by way of RNAcentral